This 253-nucleotide ribosomal RNA is filed under the name uncultured bacterium. RNAcentral's name for it is "partial 16S ribosomal RNA". It matches the Rfam family "Bacterial small subunit ribosomal RNA", at positions 524 to 776 of the family's 1533-position model. The record is from RNAcentral.
UACGAAGGGGGCUAGCGUUGUUCGGAUUUACUGGGCGUAAAGCGCUCGUAGGCGGACUUUUAAGUCGGAGGUGAAAUCCCAAGGCUCAACCUUGGAAUUGCCUUCGAUACUGGGAGUCUUGAGUAUGGAAGAGGUUGGUGGAAUUGCAAGUGUAGAGGUGAAAUUCGUAGAUAUUUGCAAGAACACCGGUGGCGAAGGCGGCCAACUGGUCCAUUACUGACGCUGAGGAGCGAAAGCGUGGGGAGCAAACAGG